AUUGGCCACAACGUGUCUCCUCAUUGGCCACGACCUUCUAGGGAGGGGCAGAGAUAGGCGGAGAAAGGAAGUGAUAACAGAUUUAAGCCAAGUUUGAACAGCUGCCUCUGUUUGCUAGUACUGUGAGAAAACGUCGUCACCGAAGAGGUCCGAAGAGUUUAAAACGAACUCUGAACUCUGUUCUUUGUCGAACUCGAGUGAGACUGAACGCUGAACACACCUGCGGCAUGAAGGUUUACUUGUUCAGCUGCUGCAACCUGGACAGAAACACCAGCUCUCACCUUACAGACCAAACAGGUGUCACCAUUUUGUCCACGAUCGCAGAGAGGCUUUGUGCAAUGAAGAAGUUCUUUGAAACCAGGACUUAGACCUCCAGGAUUUAAACUUCAACCAUUAAAUCACAGAGAGAAGAGACAGACGUGAAGACAUUUCCAGAAG
Molecule: long non-coding RNA, 438 nt
Organism: Lates calcarifer (barramundi perch)
Lineage: Eukaryota; Metazoa; Chordata; Actinopteri; Centropomidae
Exons: 4
Source: RefSeq, a predicted model, not a curated record